This 460-nucleotide ribosomal RNA is filed under the name uncultured bacterium. Its description in RNAcentral is "partial 16S ribosomal RNA". It matches the Rfam family "Bacterial small subunit ribosomal RNA", at positions 338 to 795 of the family's 1533-position model. The record is from RNAcentral.
CCUACGGGUGGCAGCAGUGAGGAAUAUUGGUCAAUGGACGAGAGUCUGAACCAGCCAAGUAGCGUGAAGGAUGACUGCCCUAUGGGUUGUAAACUUCUUUUAUAUGGGAAUAAAACGUUCCACGUGUGGGAUUUUGUAUGUACCAUAUGAAUAAGGAUCGGCUAACUCCGUGCCAGCAGCCGCGGUCAUACGGAGGAUCCGAGCGUUAUCCGGAAUUAUUGGGUUUAAAGGGAGCGUAGGUAGAUUGUUAAGUCAGUUGGGAAAGGUUGCGGCGCAACCGUAAAAUUGCAGUUGAAACUGGCAGUCUUGAGUACAGUAGAGGUGGGCGGAAUUCGUGGUGUAGCGGUGAAAUGCUUAGAUAUCACGAAGAACUCCGAUUGCGAAGGCAGUUCACUGGACUGCAACUGACACUGAGGCUCGAAAGUGUGGGUAUCAAACAGGAUUAGAUACCCGAGUAGUC